Molecule: long non-coding RNA, 621 nt
Filed under: Prunus persica (peach)
Lineage: Eukaryota; Viridiplantae; Streptophyta; Magnoliopsida; Rosales; Rosaceae
Description: long non-coding RNA (PPER_LNC004972)
Source: RNAcentral
UGAUUUAGAGCAAGCGAGAAUUCAUCAUUCACGCUCGCAUGAGUCAUGAUCCAUGUGACAUGCCAAAUAAAUAUGCAAUAUGUCACACUAAGAGUUGAAAUAAGCACUGGCUCUACAAGCCCAAGCUAAUUAUCCCGUCAAGCGUCAUAUCCCUCUUCAAAGCGAUAAAAUUCAAGCCUGCCAAUUGACAUGCAAUACCAAGCAGAAAAACCCUUAUUUUGCACAUAGCCGCACUACAAGCUUAAGUGGGCCCAAGCCACGCAAAUGCCCCGGCUUGCUGAGUGGGUUGUGGUAUGGAUAGUAACGAAUUUUCAUGAGGCCCAUUGAUGAGCCGAGAAGUGGAAGUUUUGGGAUGCUUGAGAGCCCCAAAACUCAAGCCUAUUUCUUGAGCCCAAAUAUGUGGGUAAGCAUAAAGGAGAGAAAAAGGGGAGCCCAAUACUCUAGAAAAAUUAGUCCAUCACUUUAGGAAAUAAACCUAUUUCCUUAAUCAGCUAACCCAUCACCUUAGGAAGGCCCAAGCAACCAAGGAAAAUAUUUGCAGUCUCCAGCACUUAGCUUGAAACAAGGGCCACGAUAAAAGCCAAAAUUGUCCAUGUAUGUAAGCUGCUGGGAGGCUCCAGC